UCGGGUUGGCAUCAACCUGAUACCAAAGAUGGCCUCUACUUGUAAGCUAUCACAUAGAGAUGAGCCCGCGCCCGAUUAGUUAGUUGGCGGGAUAAAAGCCCACCAAGACUUCGAUCGGUAGCCGGCCUGAGAGGGUGUCCGGCCACACUGGGACUGAGAUACGGCCCAGACUCCUACGGGAGGCAGCAGUAGGGAAUAUUGCGCAAUGGCCGCAAGGCUGACGCAGCAACGCCGCGUGGGGGAUGAAGGUUUUCGGAUCGUAAACCCCUGUCGAGAGGGACGAAAGGUGAAUGGGUGAAUAAUCCAUUCGCUUGACGGUACCUUUAGAGGAAGUUCCGGCUAACUUCGUGCCAGCAGCCGCGGUAA
RNAcentral lists this ribosomal RNA (366 nucleotides) under uncultured delta proteobacterium. RNAcentral describes it as "bacterial SSU rRNA". It matches the Rfam family "Bacterial small subunit ribosomal RNA", at positions 180 to 523 of the family's 1533-position model. Lineage: Bacteria; Deltaproteobacteria. The record is from RNAcentral.